GGACUACGACGGUAUCUGAUCGUCUUCGAUCCCCUAACUUUCGUUCUUGAUUAAUGGAAACGUCCUUGGCAAAUGCUUUCGCAGUAGUUCGUCUUUAACAAAUCUAAGAAUUUCACCUCUGACAGUUAAAUACGAAUGCCCCCAACCGUUCCUAUUAACCAUUACUAAGGUUCAAUAACCAACAAAAUAGAACCAAAGUCCUACUCUAUUAUUCCAUGCUGAAGUAUUCAAGACAAAAGUCUGCUUGAAACACUCUAAUUUUCUCAAAGUAAAAAGGGAAAUUCCCAAAAGCGAAAACGAAAUAACCAACCAAAUGGUCAAACCGUCAACGCAAAAAUACAACUACGAGCUUUUUAACUGCAACAAGUUUAAUAUACGCUAUUGGAGCUGGAAUUACCGCGGCUGCUGGCACCAGACUUGCCCUCCAAUUGCUACUCUGGUGAGGGUUUGGGUCACCAUCAUUCA
Molecule: ribosomal RNA, 465 nt
Filed under: Babesia canis canis
Lineage: Eukaryota; Apicomplexa; Aconoidasida; Piroplasmida; Babesiidae
Description: partial 18S ribosomal RNA
Source: RNAcentral